This 342-nucleotide ribosomal RNA is filed under the name uncultured bacterium. RNAcentral describes it as "bacterial SSU rRNA". It matches the Rfam family "Bacterial small subunit ribosomal RNA", at positions 30 to 370 of the family's 1533-position model. The record is from RNAcentral.
AUUGAACGCUGGCGGCAUGCCUUACACAUGCAAGUCGAACGGCAGCACGGGAGCAAUCCUGGUGGCGAGUGGCGAACGGGUGAGUAAUAUAUCGGAACGUGCCCGGUCGUGGGGGAUAACGUAGCGAAAGCUACGCUAAUACCGCAUACGAUCUACGGAUGAAAGCGGGGGGAUCGCAAGACCUCGCGCGAUUGGAGCGGCCGAUAUCAGAUUAGGUAGUUGGUGAGGUAAAGGGCUCACCAAGCCGACGAUCUGUAGCUGGUCUGAGAGGACGACCAGCCACACUGGGACUGAGACACGGCCCAGACUCCUACGGGAGGCAGCAGUGGGGAAUUUUGGGAC